UUGGAGGGCAAGUCUGGUGCCAGCAGCCGCGGUAAUUCCAGCUCCAAUAGCGUAUAUUAAAGUUGUUGCAGUUAAAAAGCUCGUAGUUGAAUUUCGGGAUCAAUUUAUUGGUCGUGCCAACGGUACGCACUGGUACGAUUGGUUUCUCCCUUCUGACGAAGCAUGAUGUCAUUAAUUUGAUGUCGUGGGGAAUCAGGACUGUUACUUUGAAAAAAUUAGAGUGUUUAAAGCAGGCUUUGGCUUGAAUACAUUAGCAUGGAAUAAUGAAAUAGGACGUUUGAUCUUAUUUCGUUGGUUUCUAAGAUCGACGUAAUGAUUAAUAGGGAUAGUUGGGGGCAUUAGUAUUCAAUUGUCAGAGGUGAAAUUCUUGGAUUUAUUGAAGACUAACUACUGCGAAAGCAUUUGCCAAGGAUGUUUUCAUUAAUCAAGAACGAAAGUUAGGGGAUCGAAGACGAUCAGAUACCGUCGUAGUCUUAACCAUAAACUAUGCCGACUAGGGAUCGGAUGAUGUUAAUUUUUUAAUGACUCAUUCGGCGCCUUACGGGAAAC
RNAcentral lists this ribosomal RNA (549 nucleotides) under uncultured Glomeromycotina. RNAcentral's name for it is "SSU rRNA". It matches the Rfam family "Eukaryotic small subunit ribosomal RNA", at positions 548 to 1098 of the family's 1831-position model. The record is from RNAcentral. Lineage: Eukaryota; Fungi; Glomeromycota.